RNAcentral lists this transfer RNA (74 nucleotides) under Lactobacillus crispatus. RNAcentral's name for it is "tRNA-Asp". It matches the Rfam family "tRNA". Rfam says of the family: Transfer RNA (tRNA) molecules are approximately 80 nucleotides in length. Their secondary structure includes four short double-helical elements and three loops (D, anti-codon, and T loops). Lineage: Bacteria; Bacillati; Bacillota; Bacilli; Lactobacillales; Lactobacillaceae. The record is from RNAcentral.
GGCCCAUUGGAGCAGUGGUUUAUCUCGCCUCCCUGUCGCGGGGGAGUCCAUGGGUGCAAAUCCCAGAUGGACCG